GAAAAAACUACAUCACUUUUCUUGGUUCCGAAGCGCUAAAAUUACCGUCGAUAAAUAGAAUAGACAAUUCAAGGCAAGACUUGUAACAAGAAAAAAAAGAUUUAUCCCUCACAUAGCAAGGCGUUUUUAUUAGGCUUAGAAUAUUUGGUCUUCAAAAACAGUAAAGCUCGUCCAAGCCAAAAAUACUUGGUCUCAUCGGUGGUAACGAUUGUUUGAUUCUAUUUACAAACUGCCUUUCUUUCUAAGAUUGCUGCGGAGCUUUUCUACUUUGCCUAAGAAAAAUGAAAUCGGCAGUGCAUGUCUUAUGACAAAAAAAUUUUUGCCCAAGAAUAUAAUUACUUACUGCUCGACUCGCUUAUUGUCAAUCCUCCUUUAAUACCAAAGUCUAUUUCUACAUAUUUGGUAGCACGAUCAUAGAAUUUACGCCAAACGAACGUAAAUUUCAAUUCCAAUCUAAUAAAUCGUUUGUAUGUCACUUAAUCGCUCUCAUCGUUUCUUCAUUCCCGACAUCAUAUUUUUUAAUACUUACCGUAACAAAAUAAACAAGGGUAAAAUUGUCUGGAAACAAAAUUACAAUACAAUUUUGAUAAUUGACUUUCUUUUGCAAUGUGCCGUAUACCUCCUUUUAUAAGAUAAGAUCCUCGGAUAUUGCAGAGAAACACCAACGACUCCUACGAUUAUAGGAUCCUUCCGCACCAUUUUAGUGCCCCAGUGUGGGAACUUAAUAGAUACAACAGAGAUAACGAUAAGGUGAACAAAUAUGAAAUGCAUCUAAACGUUAAACGACAUACAGCAUGUGCAUUGUUAAUACCCGUGGAGAAGACAGAGCAAAGAACACUAGGAUUUUUUCUUUUAUCCACGGCACAAUCAACUAUGAUAUUUCACAUUACAGCCAUAAUAGUGACAAAAUAGAAAUGAACGUAGCUUGUUAAACCCAUUGAGUAUCCUGUCCGACAAACAAGCUGUCCCUAUAACACUAAAAAAUGGAAGAAAUUUCGAUAAUUCAAAAUUAAGUAAACAGCAGGUUUUUAAAACCCACGAAUACAACCAAAAUUUACACAAGACAGACAAAUACAACCAACACAUAACAUGAAUAAUAUUAAAAUGAAU
Schizosaccharomyces pombe (fission yeast) is the source of this 1110-nucleotide non-coding RNA. The record is from the annotation of a GenBank genome assembly. NCBI's taxonomy places the organism in Eukaryota, Fungi, Ascomycota, Schizosaccharomycetes, Schizosaccharomycetales, Schizosaccharomycetaceae.